CUUGGUCAUUUAGAGGAAGUAAAAGUCGUAACAAGGUCUCCGUAGGUGAACCUGCGGAGGGAUCAUUAAUGAAUGGCUUUGGCCUUCAACCAUCAACCCGUGGAAGCAAGACGUGCUUUGGCGCUCCGACGCCACGUUUAUGCGGCAAAGUGUUUGUCUGAAUCGAAUUAAGAAUUAAAACUUUCAACAACGGAUCUCUUGGCUCUCGCAUCGAUGAAGAACGCAGCGAAAUGCGAUAAGUAAUGUGAAUUGCAGACCUCAGUGAAUCAUCGAAUCUUUGAACGCAUAUUGCACUCUCUGGUAUUCCGGAGAGUAUGCCUGUUUCAGUAUCAGUAAACACCAUCAAACACCUCCAAGAGCGGGGUUGUUUGGAUUUGAGUGUUGCCGAGAAAACUGACCCUUUUUGCGGCCCGCUCGAAAUGCAAGUACACAGGACAGGGAUCUCCCGAGGUGUGAAACAAAAAAAGCGUCGUAGUUGACUUGAUCGUCUUCUUUCGCUGAAAAAGAACGCCCGGUUUUUGGGACCUUUGCUGUGCAAAUUCGCAGGAAGAUAAGGAAUAUUCUUUAUCACUUCUUGAUCUGAAAUCAGGUAGGACUACCCGCUGAACUUAAGCAUAUCAAUAAGCGGAGGAAAAGAAACUAACAAGGAUUCCCCUAGUAACGGCGAGUGAAGCGGGAAGAGCUCAAAUUUAGAAUCUCACUGGUCUCCAGUGCGAGUUGUAGUUUAUAGAAGUGUUUUCGGUGGACGCCUGGGUAUAAGUCCUUUGGAACAGGGCAUCAUAGAGGGUGAGAAUCCCGUCCAUGACCCAGAGUUGGUCACUAUGUGAUACACUUUCGAAGAGUCAGGUUGUUUGGGAAUGCAGCCUAAAAUGGGUGGUAAAUGCCAUCUAAAGCUAAAUAUUGGCGAGAGACCGAUAGCGAACAAGUACCGUGAGGGUAAGAUGAAAAGAACUUUGAAAAGAGAGUUAAACAGUACGUGAAAUUGUUGAAAGGGAAACGUUUGAAACCAGCGAUGCUUGCGGGUGAUCACUCCUGGUGCUCUCACCCGUCGGCAAGUCAGCGUCAGUUUUGGUCGCCGGAAAAAGAAUCAAGGGAAUGUGGCCUCCUCCCGGGAGUGUUAUAGCCCUGGUUCGUACGGUGACUGGGACUGAGGUCUGCAGUCAAAUCCUGGAGGCACGGCUGCUGGGGAUAGAUCGGUGCUAGACAGCUUGCUGACUGGGGCUGAUUCUGUCUCCACACGGUCGGAGGUCUCUCAAAUUGGCUUAGGUCGCUGACUUAAUGGUUUAAAAUGACCCGUCUUGAAACACGGACC
Molecule: ribosomal RNA, 1312 nt
Filed under: uncultured fungus
Lineage: Eukaryota; Fungi
Description: eukaryotic LSU rRNA
Rfam family: Eukaryotic large subunit ribosomal RNA (bases 576-1312)
Source: RNAcentral